RNAcentral lists this ribosomal RNA (460 nucleotides) under uncultured bacterium. Its description in RNAcentral is "partial 16S ribosomal RNA". It matches the Rfam family "Bacterial small subunit ribosomal RNA", at positions 338 to 795 of the family's 1533-position model. The record is from RNAcentral.
CCUACGGGUGGCAGCAGUGAGGAAUAUUGGUCAAUGGACGAGAGUCUGAACCAGCCAAGUAGCGUGAAGGAUGACUGCCCUAUGGGUUGUAAACUUCUUUUAUAAAGGAAUAAAACGAGGCACGUGUGCCUUUUUGCAUGUACUUUAUGAAUAAGGAUCGGCUAACUCCGUGCCAGCAGCCGCGGUAAUACGGAGGAUCCGAGCGUUAUCCGGAUUUAUUGGGUUUAAAGGGAGCGUAGAUGGGUUGUUAAGUCAGUUGUGAAAGUUUGCGGCUCAACCGUAAAAUUGCAAUUGAUACUGGCAGUCGUGAGUACAGUUGAGGUAGGCGGAAUUCGUGGUGUAGCGGUGAAAUGCUUAGAUAUCACGAAGAAACCCGAUUGCGAAGGCAGCUUACUAAACUGUGACUGACAUUGAUGCUCGAAAGUGUGGGUAUCAAACAGGAUUAGAUACCCUUGUAGUC